This 1432-nucleotide ribosomal RNA is filed under the name uncultured organism. RNAcentral describes it as "16S ribosomal RNA". It matches the Rfam family "Bacterial small subunit ribosomal RNA". The record is from RNAcentral.
GACGAACGCUGGCGGCGUGCUUAACACAUGCAAGUCGAACGGAAAGGCCCUGCUUUUGUGGGGUGCUCGAGUGGCGAACGGGUGAGUAACACGUGAGUAACCUGCCCUUGACUUUGGGAUAACUUCAGGAAACUGGGGCUAAUACCGGAUAGGAGCUCCUGCUGCAUGGUGGGGGUUGGAAAGUUUCGGCGGUUGGGGAUGGACUCGCGGCUUAUCAGCUUGUUGGUGGGGUAGUGGCUUACCAAGGCUUUGACGGGUAGCCGGCCUGAGAGGGUGACCGGCCACAUUGGGACUGAGAUACGGCCCAGACUCCUACGGGAGGCAGCAGUGGGGAAUAUUGCACAAUGGGCGGAAGCCUGAUGCAGCAACGCCGCGUGCGGGAUGACGGCCUUCGGGUUGUAAACCGCUUUCGCCUGUGACGAAGCGUGAGUGACGGUAAUGGGUAAAGAAGCACCGGCUAACUACGUGCCAGCAGCCGCGGUGAUACGUAGGGUGCGAGCGUUGUCCGGAUUUAUUGGGCGUAAAGGGCUCGUAGGUGGUUGAUCGCGUCGGAAGUGUAAUCUUGGGGCUUAACCCUGAGCGUGCUUUCGAUACGGGUUGACUUGAGGAAGGUAGGGGAGAAUGGAAUUCCUGGUGGAGCGGUGGAAUGCGCAGAUAUCAGGAGGAACACCAGUGGCCGAAGCGGUUCUCUGGGCCUUUCCUGACGCUGAGGAGCGAAAAGCGUGGGGAGCGAACAGGCUUAGAUACCCUGGUAGUCCACGCUGUAAACGGUGGGUACUAGGUGUGGGGUCCAUUCCACGGGUUCCGUGCCGUAGCUAACGCUUUAAGUACCCCGCCUGGGGAGUACGGGCCGCAAGGCUAAAACUCAAAGGAAUUGACGGGGCCCCGCACAAGCGGCGGAGCAUGCGGAUUAAUUCGAUGCAACGCGUAGAACCUUACCUGGGUUUGACAUGGAUCGGGAGUGCUCAGAGAUGGGUGUGCCUCUUUUGGGGUCGGUUCACAGGUGAUGCAUGGCUGUCGUCAGCUCGUGUCGUGAGAUGUUGGGUUAAGUCCCGCAACGAGCGCAACCCUUGUUCACUGUUGCCAGCACGUUAUGGUGGGGACUCAGUGGAGACCGCCGGGGUCAACUCGGAGGAAGGUGGGGAUGACGUCAAGUCAUCAUGCCCCUUAUGUCCAGGGCUUCACGCAUGCUACAAUGGCUGGUACAGAGAGUGGCGAGCCUGUGAGGGUGAGCGAAUCUCGGAAAGCCGGUCUCAGUUCGGAUUGGGGUCUGCAACUCGACCUCAUGAAGUCGGAGUCGCUAGUAAUCGCAGAUCAGCAACGCUGCGGUGAAUACGUUCCCGGGGCUUGUACACACCGCCCGUCAAGUCAUGAAAGUUGGUAACACCCGAAGCCGGUGGCCUAACCGUUGUGGGGGAGCCGUCGAAGGUGG